Molecule: long non-coding RNA, 2177 nt
Organism: Galleria mellonella (greater wax moth)
Lineage: Eukaryota; Metazoa; Arthropoda; Insecta; Lepidoptera; Pyralidae
Exons: 3
Source: RefSeq, a predicted model, not a curated record
GCGCUAAAGUUAGCAAAGACGAGCGGCAUAAACGGGAACUACUCAAAGCUGUGCGAUUUGACAUUUUGUCAUAGUAUUUGGUAUUCACUAACAAAAGUCAGCCUCGUCUUCGCCGACAGCCUAAUCUACGGCCUCAUAUAUCUUAUGUCAAAAUCAAAAGCUCUGUUUUCUACACUGUUUACAUAGUAUUCCAAUAAUAAAUUUAUUUGUUUCUCGAAUUCUGUGAUAUUUAUUUGCAUUCAAAUUAUCAAUUUGUGUUUAAAAACAAUGGCUGUUCGUUUAUGUGUAAUGAUCCAUUUGUUGAAAGAAAUUAAAGAAGAUAAUUACAAAAAAUUACGACUAACAAGAGACAGUUGCGAAAUGCAAGCACAAUUUUAUAUGACGUGUAUUAUAUUCGUCAUUAGACUGUCUGAAGACCUAUUUAAUAUGUUAGAAUUGAAUUGGCACCAUAUACGCCUGUGUGCCGCCGUUCCGGAGGUUUAUCACUCGGGCUAAAGGUGACUUUAGAACCCUUCUAAUAAUGUAAACCUUUGGACUCUCACAAUAAUAUCAAAAGCCACUGAUUGCUGUCUUAUUUGUGAUAUGCAUAUUCAUCUAUACCAUCUCACAGAUCGAAGAAGCAGGAAAGAAAAUGCAGUAGUCUCACUCAAUUUACACUGUCAGCAGCUUCUUAUAAAUAGAAGAAAUCCCCUUCUGUAUCGAAGUGAAUAUCCAAGUGUUGCCUGCAAUCAUUCAACAGCUUGCAAAGACAGUACAGUGGAGUUGCCACCAAGAACAGUUCUACGGAACGGCACGGACAUUGGGCUGAUGUAACUACGGGGAUAGUGUACAGGUCAAUCGAGAAUGAAAUUUGGCAAGAAGCUGAGAACAAGUUUAUAUUAUGUAGUUUCCAUUUUUAUUGUUACUUUUUUGCCUAAUCAUACAUUAAAUAUUAAUUAUGUAAUAAAAUGUACAUCUAUUUCAUAGUAGAGCAAAUUAAAUUUAAACAAGCAGACAUGCUUUUGCAUUUAUAAUAUUAGUAUGCAGUAUGGAAUAUAUAUAAAUGUCAUUUAUAUAAACUUAUUAUUACUUAGCAGUAUUUCCGAACCGAUACGACAACAUAACCUUCAAGAAAAGAGUAUAUUCCUUUUUAAAAGGCCGGCAGCACACCUGCAAUGCCGCUGGUGUUGUGGGUGAUCAUGGGCGGCGGUAGUCACUUACCAUCAGGUGAGCCGCAUGCUCGUUUGCCCCCUGUGUUGUAAAAAAAAAAAAAAAUUACUUUAUUUACAAGUUUCAAAAUUUUUUUUUAUGGGUGAAAAUGGUAUGGUGUCCCCGCCUGCGCUAACGGGAUACGCUGGCGGAGCACCAGUGAAGGGUGAUAGAUGAGAAUGAAAACAGGCCAGUUAGCCCAUCAUGAUGAAUUCAUCAGGAAUUAACCAUGAUAGUUUCCAGGGAGAACCGCGAGGAGGUCGACCUGGUUGGGUAUAUCACUAGCAAUGGGAUUCUCAGUCUCCAUUACUAACAAUCCCUUUCCCCCCCAGAAGUUUCAUAUUUAUGAUUGUUUCAUUGAAAUUGUGUACUUUUUUAUUGUUAAUAUUACAUGAUAUAUUUAUGUUAUAAUGACUAGUGUAACGUAGCCAUUUCACUAUGUUAAAAAUAAUAAAAGAAGAUAAACAAAAGAAUUACUGAAUCUCUAUCAGAUUGUAAACUCAAUUGUGGAUUGUCCCCAACUUUUAGAAUUAAUUAAUAUUAGUAGGAAUGGCCGAAUUCCUCUUCGACGUACUUUUACUGUGCCUCUUUAUAGAAAUAAUGUUUCUUUAAAUAACCCUAUAGCCAAUAUGCGUAGAUCAUAUAAUGACGCUCAUCAAAAUGACCUUGACAUAUUUGGACUCGAUUAUAAUCAAUUUCGCAGACAAUUGUAUAAAAUAAUGUAAUAUUUAGAAAUUUCUUAUAUAGUUUUGUUUUGUUUUUUUAUUUAACUUUAUUUAUGUUUAUGUUUCUUUUUAUAUAUGUUUAAUUUUUUUCACUAAUAGUUGCAACCGAAUGGUUUCGUUGCAGUCGCAUUUAUUAUUGGAUCGUGCUGUGCGCACAUGUUGUGGCAAGUUUACCUGAUCAAUACAUUAAUGUACUUGCAUGUUAUAAUCUAUGUUUGUAUUUGUAAACUUCUGUUAUGUGCGCCUAAUAAAUAAAAUAAAAUA